GACGAACGCUGGCGGCGUGCUUAACACAUGCAAGUCGAACGGAAAGGCCCUGCUUUUGUGGGGUGCUCGAGUGGCGAACGGGUGAGUAACACGUGAGUAACCUGCCCUUGACUUUGGGAUAACUUCAGGAAACUGGGGCUAAUACCGGAUAGGAGCUCCUGCUGCAUGGUGGGGGUUGGAAAGUUUCGGCGGUUGGGGAUGGACUCGCGGCUUAUCAGCUUGUUGGUGGGGUAGUGGCUUACCAAGGCUUUGACGGGUAGCCGGCCUGAGAGGGUGACCGGCCACAUUGGGACUGAGAUACGGCCCAGACUCCAACGGGAGGCAGCAGGGGGGAAUAUUGCACAAUGGGCGGAAGCCUGAUGCAGCAACGCCGCGUGCGGGAUGACGGCCUUCGGGUUGUAAACCGCUGUCGCCUGUGACGAAGCGUGAGUGACGGUAAUGGGUAAAGAAGCACCGGCUAACUACGUG
Molecule: ribosomal RNA, 468 nt
Filed under: uncultured bacterium
Lineage: Bacteria
Description: partial 16S ribosomal RNA
Rfam family: Bacterial small subunit ribosomal RNA
Source: RNAcentral